GCUGUCUGUGCGCUGUGAGAUUUGCAUGCAGUCUCUCAUCCCUCAGGACUCGUCACUGCAGCGUCGGACACUGUGCACUGAGGAGAUCGCGAGCAUGAGUUUUCUAGGCAGAUUUAAGAAACCCCCUCCCUUCCUCCUUGCUCCUCCCCUGACUGCUGUGAGCGCAUUGUGAUGUCAUAGAAUUUCAACCUGGGUUAACCCAGGUUGGGGCAGCAGUGUGGAGUAGUGGUUAGGGCUCGGGACUCUUGACCAGAGGGUCGUGGGUUCAAUCCCAGGUGGGGGGGGACACUGCUGCUGUACCCUUGAGCAAGGUACUUUACCUAGAUUGCUCCAGUAAAAAUCCAACUGUAUAAAUGGGUAAUUGUAUGUGAAAUAAUGUAUAAUGUGAUAUCUUGUAACAAUUGUAAGU
This is a long non-coding RNA of Acipenser ruthenus (sterlet), 409 nucleotides long. RefSeq lists it as uncharacterized. The record is from RefSeq and is a predicted model, not a curated record. Lineage: Eukaryota; Metazoa; Chordata; Actinopteri; Acipenseriformes; Acipenseridae. The transcript has 3 exons.